Solenopsis invicta (red fire ant) is the source of this 1571-nucleotide RNA transcript. It is a transcript of the gene named MORN repeat-containing protein 3, with no coding region annotated. The record is from RefSeq and is a predicted model, not a curated record. Lineage: Eukaryota; Metazoa; Arthropoda; Insecta; Hymenoptera; Formicidae. The transcript has 3 exons.
AUAAAAGUUUAUAUUGAAACGUUUUCAGGGACACAAAAUAUGUGUGGAUUUAGCUUUAUUUUUUUAUACAAAAACAAAAUUAAAAAUAAAUAUUAAAUUAUUUUUAUACAAAUUAAAAUUGAAAAUAUAACAAAAUGUAUUGAUAUGAAGCAUAAAAAAAAAUUUUAAAUUUUCUGGCUAAUCUACAUAUGUAUAAUCAAUACCGCUAUAUUUCUCCAUUAUCAAAACACUUAGCUUCAAGAAUCAGAGUACACCCAUGUAUCAGUCAUUUACUUUGCACGAUAUGAAUGCGAUCGUUUUUCUUUAUGCCGCAUGCGGCGUGAAUUACGCAAUUUUACCUCGAUCUUUGAAGAUUGGCGAAGAUCUUUGAUGAUUUUUGCGAAGUAAAACACCCAAACCGAUCAUUUCGCGAUCGAUCAUUCAUGAAAUGGUAAAUUUAGGCGUUUUCCUUCGUGAACAUUCGGCGCAAUGGUGUUCUUGAAACCACAGAGAGUUACAUGGAGCAAACGACAAAUAGAAGCUUGCAAACGAAAUGGCUGGCGACACGCUAUAUACUCGCCCGAAACGAAACGUAUUACUAGAGCGUAUUAUAAGGGUGAAUGGAGAAACGAUAAGAAAGAAGGCAAAGGCAUAGGAGUCAACAGGUGUCAUGAAAAUUAUGUUGUUUGAAAUCACGGUUGGAUGUACGAAGGCGACUGGUAUAACGAUUUCAAACACGGCUACGGCGUCCUCAGUAAAAUUACGGAGGACGGCGACGUGCGCAAAGUAUAUGCCGGUGACUGGACGAAGGGAAAGAAGCACGGAUUCGGAAGUAAUUGGUACAAAGACGGUAGCUACUAUGAAGGCAUGUUUCGGGAGAACAAGAGAAAUGGUUACGGUCGGAUUUGGUACAAAUGCGGCAGUGGAUAUUACCAGGGCACAUGGCUCAAUGAUCGUUAUCACGGAGAAGGGAUGCUGAUUCAAGAAAACGGUAAUCUUUACGAGGGUCAGUUUACAAAUGGCAAGAAGGAAGGUCAGGGUGUCUUCUACCACUUGGACAGACGUCAAGUGCAGGAGGGUCGUUGGGAGAAUGACGUCUGCGUGCACAGCACGAUAGAAAACGUCGACUACCGGCAGCCAGCUUUAUAUCCGAUAUUACAUAUUCCAAAGAUAAAUGGCCGAAUAACGAUACACUUAUAAACAUAUUGCGUCAUGCGUCUCGUUUACGUCUCUUCUUAGAUCGAUUUAGACAUACAUGUUUCACAUUUUAUCGGCUUUUCUCGCGUUCUCGCGGCCAACAGAAAAUAUAAUGCGUACAUGUAAUUUUGUACGUACGACUUUUUAUUUUCGGCAAUCGCUCCCGCCAGCGCAUUUCACGCGCCAAACAAUAUAUACAAAUAAUAUAAUCGGACAUAUACGUUCCCAAGUUUCAUCUACGAUCGUUGAAAUGUAAUAUUUCACGCGAUGCGAUAUAUGUUUGAAACGCGGCUCCUGAUAUAUUUCGUUUCUUAUUUAUAAUUUUUACGGAAGUACUUGAGAGUAAUGUACUUGCGCGUUGAAGAACGAUAAGGGAAAUUGUUGUUAUCGCAAAU